CUUAUAAAGAAAGGUGGAGGGACCGGCCCUUUGAAACCUUGGCAACCUACAGAAAUUCAAUUCUGAGAAGGUGCCAAUUCCUUUCCGAUUUAUCGGAAAAUAUAAG
RNAcentral lists this non-coding RNA (106 nucleotides) under marine eukaryotic metagenome. Its description in RNAcentral is "SAM riboswitch (S box leader)". It matches the Rfam family "SAM riboswitch aptamer (S box leader)". Rfam says of the family: The SAM riboswitch is found upstream of a number of genes which code for proteins involved in methionine or cysteine biosynthesis in Gram-positive bacteria. The SAM riboswitch acts at the level of transcription termination control. The record is from RNAcentral.